RNAcentral lists this ribosomal RNA (505 nucleotides) under uncultured bacterium. RNAcentral describes it as "partial 16S ribosomal RNA". It matches the Rfam family "Bacterial small subunit ribosomal RNA", at positions 28 to 507 of the family's 1533-position model. The record is from RNAcentral.
GACGAACGCUGGCGGCGUGCCUAAUACAUGCAAGUAGAACGCACAGUUUAUACCGUAGCUUGCUACACCAUAGACUGUGAGUUGCGAACGGGUGAGUAACGCGUAGGUAACCUGCCUGGUAGCGGGGGAUAACUAUUGGAAACGAUAGCUAAUACCGCAUAAUAUUGAUUAUUGCAUGAUAAUUGAUUGAAAGAUGCUAUUGCAUCACUACCAGAUGGACCCGCGUUGUAUUAGCUAGUAGGUGAGGUAACGGCUCACCUAGGCGACGAUACAUAGCCGACCUGAGAGGGUGAUCGCCCACACUGGGACUGAGACACGGCCCAGACUCCUACGGGAGGCAGCAGUAGGGAAUCUUCGGCAAUGGACGAAAGUCUGACCGAGCAACGCCGCGUGAGUGAAGAAGGUUUUCGGAUCGUAAAGCUCUGUUGUAAGAGAAGAACGGGUGUGAGAGUGGAAAGUUCACACUGUGACGGUAUCUUACCAGAAAGGGACGGCUAACUACGUG